Molecule: ribosomal RNA, 465 nt
Filed under: Vreelandella stevensii
Lineage: Bacteria; Pseudomonadati; Pseudomonadota; Gammaproteobacteria; Oceanospirillales; Halomonadaceae
Description: partial 16S ribosomal RNA
Rfam family: Bacterial small subunit ribosomal RNA
Source: RNAcentral
CCUACGGGGGGCAGCAGUGGGGAAUUUUGGACAAUGGGGGCAACCCUGAUCCAGCCAUGCCGCGUGUGUGAAGAAGGCCCUCGGGUUGUAAAGCACUUUCAGUGAGGAAGAACGCCUGGUGGUUAAUACCCAUCAGGAAAGACAUCACUCACAGAAGAAGCACCGGCUAACUCCGUGCCAGCAGCCGCGGUAAUACGGAGGGUGCGAGCGUUAAUCGGAAUUACUGGGCGUAAAGCGCGCGUAGGUGGCUUGAUAAGCCGGUUGUGAAAGCCCCGGGCUCAACCUGGGAACGGCAUCCGGAACUGUCAAGCUAGAGUGCAGGAGAGGAAGGUAGAAUUCCCGGUGUAGCGGUGAAAUGCGUAGAGAUCGGGAGGAAUACCAGUGGCGAAGGCGGCCUUCUGGACUGACACUGACACUGAGGUGCGAAAGCGUGGGUAGCAAACAGGAUUAGAUACCCUGGUAGUC